GAAAUGCGAUACGUAAUGUGAAUUGCAGAAUUCAGUGAAUCAUCAAAAUCUUGAACGCACCUUGCGCCUUGAGGUCACUCAAGGCAUGCCUGUUUCAGGGUCAGUUUAUAACUCUCCACAAAUACCAAUGUGGGAUAUGGCAGUUGCGGGACAAGUGCCUCCAUCUGCUGAAAGUGAUGAGCCCACCAGCAUACCGAGCAGUUUACUGCGCACGGCUGGGCAUCGAUGAGUUUUGAACGCGGCAUAGCCCGUACACGUCUCAUCAACCCAGUUGCUAGUGGUAAGCCUCUUGUGUUGGUAGGUGGCCAAAAAACAAUACUGCUUAACAACAGCGUAUUGGCACUUCCUAUUUUCACCUUUGACCUGAAAUCAGGUAGGGCAACCCGCUGAAUUUAA
RNAcentral lists this unclassified non-coding RNA (396 nucleotides) under uncultured fungus. RNAcentral's name for it is "sequence contains ITS1". The stretch from base 1 to 103 matches the Rfam family "5.8S ribosomal RNA", at positions 50 to 154 of the family's 154-position model. The record is from RNAcentral. Lineage: Eukaryota; Fungi.